Chrysolophus pictus (golden pheasant) is the source of this 1612-nucleotide long non-coding RNA. The record is from Ensembl. Lineage: Eukaryota; Metazoa; Chordata; Aves; Galliformes; Phasianidae.
GUAGUGUUGUUGUUGUCACACCCAAGGUAGUGUUGUUGUCACACCCAAGGUAGUGUUGUUGUCACACCCAAGGUAGUGUUGUUGUCGUCACACCCGACCUCACGUUGUCACAACCAACGCAGCGUCGUCACCCCGCUGUGUCGGCGCCACCGUUCAGUGUCACACGUUGGUGUGUGUGCAAAUAUUGUCACGGUGGUGGUGAUCAGCGCCCGGGGAGGGCACACACACACACACACACACACAUGGAAACACACACAGGGAUGCUGACACACACAUGGAGGCACACACACACACGGGGAUGUACACACGUGAUGACACACACACACGAGGGGGAACACACACGGGGAUGCACACACACACACACAGCACACACACACAUGGACACACGGGGAUGCACACACACACACACACAUACGAGGGGUGACACACACACACGGCACACACACACACACACGGCACACACACACACACGGACACACGGGGAUGCACACACACACACACACACACGAGGGGUGAUGCACACACACGGGUUGGGGAUGCACACACCCAGGGAUGCACACACGUGAGGAUACACACACACGCACACACACACAGGCACACACACACAGAUGUGCACACACAUGGACACACACGGGGGGGUGUACACACUCAGGAAUGUACGCACACAUGGAGGGACACACACAUGGGGCACACACACACACGAACACACACACACACUCAGGAAGGUACACGCAUGAUGACACACACAGAGGGGGAACACACACAGGGAUGCACACACAGGGGGGCACACACACACACACACAGGGAUGCACACACACGGGGACACACACACAAACACACACAGGGAAGCACACACACACAUGGGGGCACACACACACAUAGGGGCACACACAUGCACACAGGGAUGUGCAUACAAGGGGACACAGGGAUGCACACACACACAGCUCACACACACAGAAGUGCACACACACACAUAGGGAUGCACACACACACACAUGGGGGCACACACACUCACAGAGAUGUGCACACAUGGGGACACAGGGAUGCACACACAUACUCACGGCUCACACACACACACACACACGGGGGCACACACACACUCACAGGGAUGUGCACACAUGGGGACACACAGGGAUGUACACACACUCACGGCUCACACACACACACAGGGGCACACACAUAUGGGGACAACACACACACGCAGGGAUGUACACACUCACACACACACACAGGGAUGCACACACAGACGGGGGCACACACACACUCACAGGGAUGUACACACACACAUGGCUCACACACACACACACAGGGGCACAGGGAUGCACACACACACAGGGGCACACACAUAGGGAUGCACACACACUCACAGGGAUGUGCACACAUGGGGACACACAGGGAUGCACACACACACACACAGCUCACACACACACAGGGAUGUACACACACAAGUGUGUGGAUGUACGGCUCACACACACACACACAGGGAUGCACACACACACACACACGGCUCACACACACACACAGGGGCACACACAUGGGGACAACACACACACGCAGGGAUGUACACACAGACACUCACAGCUCACACACACAUGCAUAGGGAUACACACAC